CUACGGGGGGCUCCAGUGGGGAAUAUUGGACAAUGGGCGCAAGCCUGAUCCAGCAAUACCGCGUGUGUGAAGAAGGCCUGCGGGUUGUAAAGCACUUUCAAUUGUGAAGAAAAGCGAGAGGUUAAUAGCCUUUUGUCUUGACGUUAACUUUAGAAGAAGCACCGGCUAACUCUGUGCCAGCAGCCGCGGUAAUACAGAGGGUGCGAGCGUUAAUCGGAAUUACUGGGCGUAAAGCGUGCGUAGGCGGUUUAGUAAGUCAGAUGUGAAAGCCCUGGGCUCAACCUGGGAACUGCAUUUGAACUGCUGAACUAGAGUGUGGGAGAGGGAAGUGGAAUUCCGGGUGUAGCGGUGAAAUGCGUAGAUAUCCGGAGGAACACCAGUGGCGAAGGCGACUUCCUGGACCAACACUGACGCUGAGGUACGAAAGCGUGGGUAGCAAACAGGAUUAGAUACCCUGGUAGUC
RNAcentral lists this ribosomal RNA (463 nucleotides) under uncultured bacterium. RNAcentral describes it as "partial 16S ribosomal RNA". It matches the Rfam family "Bacterial small subunit ribosomal RNA", at positions 339 to 795 of the family's 1533-position model. The record is from RNAcentral.